GAUGAAGAACGUAGCGAAAUGCGAUAAGUAGUGUGAAUUGCAGAAUUCAGUGAAUCAUCGAAUCUUUGAACGCACAUUGCGCCCCUUGGUAUUCCGGGGGGCAUGCCUCUUCCAGCGUCAUUUCACCCCUCAAGCUCUGCUUGGUUUUGGGCCGCGCCGGCAACGGCGGGCCUCGAAAAUAGUGGCGACGCCAUCGUGCUCUCAGCGUAGUAAUUCUUCUCGCUGUUGGGUCCCGGUGGUCGUCCGCCAGCAACCCCCAACUUUCUUAAGUUUGACCUGGGAUGAGGUAGGGAUACCCGCUGAACUUAAGCAUAUCAAUAAGCGGAGGA
Molecule: unclassified non-coding RNA, 329 nt
Filed under: soil metagenome
Description: partial contains 5.8S ribosomal RNA, internal transcribed spacer 2, and large subunit ribosomal RNA
Rfam family: 5.8S ribosomal RNA (bases 1-120)
Source: RNAcentral